ACAGAGGCAGCUUUCUAAGAACCUGGUGAAAUACCCCACCCUGGGCAUCAUCACCCCGUGUGGCGAAUGGAGCAACUGCUGGGGACUUGCUCAAGUAGCCUCCGACCCCGCAGGGCUGUUCCUUCCUCCCAGUUUCAGGAUUUCCCAACAGGUCCCCAACAGACGCAUUUCAUCAGCCUCAGGGGAGCCUGGCUCCCUUCCCGCCCCGGCCCAGAGGCGCCUGAUGGGAUGGAAGCUGGUUUUAUGCUUCUGGAUCCCCAAGAAUGAUAGGGCCCCACCCUUCUGCCCUCCCCAGCAGCGUCUCUCUGCCAUCAGUGAAGCAGUUGAGCUUGAUGGAGAUGGGCAGCGCACCCAGGAAGAAGGCAGAGGACUUAGCCCAAUGUUACCUGCUGUGUAUGUGUUAUCUUCGUCAGACCUGCCCAUCAUGCCUGCUUGACAUUAGAGGAAAUUAAAGAGAUGAGAUCUCACUAUGUUGCCCAGGCUGAUCUCGAACUCCUGGACUCAAGCAACCCUCCUGCCUUGGCCUCCCAAAGUGCUGCAAUGACAGGCAUGAGCCACUGUGCCUGGCCUGGGCCCUUUCCUUAGGCUCCAUGACUGAAUGAAAGAGCAAACAUGAUGAAUUGAACACCUACUAUGUGUUAGGCACUUGCUGAAUUUAGAAAUAAAUAAAUGUCUUGUGUUAAUGCGGUGAUUACUCAGUCACCAGAGAGCAGAUGAUAAUUUGGGGAAUGGGCAGUACUGCUAAAACCCAACACCAAGGAGAGGGGCAAU
This 771-nucleotide long non-coding RNA is filed under the name Homo sapiens (human). RNAcentral describes it as "HSALNT0310414". The record is from RNAcentral. Lineage: Eukaryota; Metazoa; Chordata; Mammalia; Primates; Hominidae.